UCAGUUAACACAGCUGGACAUCACUAGCCUUUGUCCUUUCAAAUCCACCGUCCAGCCUUUAUGAUAGCAUUUUCCAAUGAGAUCUUAUAAUAUCUGCUAUCAAUAUCUUUUAACAUCUCCUUGAAUCUUCUUCGUCUGACUCGUUUGAUCUCCGUCUUUCUCUUUUCUGAGUAGUAUCCCUUAGAUGCAGUCCCAACAAUUGCUCUUCUUCUUUCCUCAGCAUUUCUUUUUUUUUUUUUCAAAAACUGGGUAAUCUUGAAUCUCCUUCAUCUUGUGCUCUUGGCCUCCGUCGCUCCCUCUCCUGAUGGAUACUCCUUGGAUGCAACCCCAGCAGAGUGAAUAACUGACUUAGAGGCCACGAUAUCCCCCUCCGUAUCGCAGACAACCAAACCUAAAGAAGAUCUCGAAGUUCUCUUGUCAAAAGCCGUAUCAAAAUAAAUUGUCAUCCUCAUGUUUCUUUCCAUCUGCUUAUGUCCUCUGUCAAUACUGAUUGACCAUAACCCACAGCAAAAAAGGUGACACUGGUCGUUAUUCCCCUGCCUGAAAACCCAGAUAAGCCACUCCCACAAGCUUUGAGUAUUGUUAUUGGAUACCAAUUCAAGAUCUAAACUUGACCAUACUUUUAUUGUUGUGGCACAGUACCUGAAAACGUGGUUGCUAUCUUCAGCGGAGGUGUGACAUCGGGGACAAAAAGUUUCCACUGACUUUUUUACUCUUUAGAUUAAAUAGAGUAGGACUACAAUUCCAAGAAAUUUUCCCAAUUGUAAUUUUAAUUUUUUGAGGGAUUUGUAAAUUCCAUAAUUUUCUGUAGAAGUUUCUAUUCUCGGUCUGUAUAAAAUUAUUACUAGGACCCGAAUUAGUCUCAUGUAAUAGUUUAUAGGCACUUCUGACGGAAUACUCUCUUGACGGUUCUCCUCUCCAUACUUGAAAGUCCUCGUAGAUUGUCUUUGCCAAGGGAAUCUGCAGAAUUAUUUUUGCAGUAUCCUCAUUAAAGGUGCUUAAAACUAAAUCUGUAUUCCAUUUUCGAUUAUUAGCAUCAAUCAAAACUGAUAUUAACUUAAUAUUCUCAUUGACAUUUUCAUUCUGCAAUCUAUCAUUUUCAUCUCCCAAAAUCCACAAGUCAUCCCAAACAGAGAUGCGAUUCCCUGCUCCUAUUCUCCAGCAAAGUCCUUUCUCCAAAAUCCCUUUAGCUGCCCAGACACUCUUCUAGAGCAAGGAAAACUAAAAUUCGGGCUAAAAUGGGGAAAAUACCAAGUUGUGGACGAAAUGGUAAAAGUAGCCAUUUUCGCAUACGAGUGUUGACAAGCCAGCUCGGAAAUCGGAAACGGUCGGAGGCACGCUCACAGUAUCCGUAUACCAUCUUGGCAUAAUGGCUUGUAUAUUUUGAGUAUGGCAUGUAUAGCAUUAUAAUAAUUUUGUAUAUAUGGUCUUAUGAUAUGGUUAUUGAGUGGUAUGGAAAUGCUUGGUAAUGAUUAGCCAUUGGAAUGGCUAAUCAUGAUCA
Gossypium arboreum is the source of this 1501-nucleotide long non-coding RNA. RefSeq lists it as uncharacterized. NCBI's taxonomy places the organism in Eukaryota, Viridiplantae, Streptophyta, Magnoliopsida, Malvales, Malvaceae. The record is from RefSeq and is a predicted model, not a curated record. The transcript is spliced from 5 exons.